GGUCGCCAACGAGUGGCGGACGGGUGAGUAACACGUAGGUAACCUGCCCAGAAGCGGGGGACAACAUUUGGAAACAGAUGCUAAUACCGCAUAACARCGUUGUUCGCAUGAACAACGCUUAAAAGAUGGCUUCUCGCUAUCACUUCUGGAUGGACUGCGGUGCAUUAGCUUGUUGGUGGGGUAAUGGCCUACCAAGGCGAUGAUGCAUAGCCGAGUUGAGAGACUGAUCGGCCACAAUGGGACUGAGACACGGCCCAUACUCCUACGGGAGGCAGCAGUAGGGAAUCUUCCACAAUGGGCGCAAGCCUGAUGGAGCAACACCGCGUGAGUGAAGAAGGGUUUCGGCUCGUAAAGCUCUGUUGUUAAAGAAGAACACGUAUGAGAGUAACUGUUCAUACGUUGACGGUAUUUAACCAGAAAGUCACGGCUAACUACGUGCCAGCAGCCGCGGUAAUACGUAGGUGGCAAGCGUUAUCCGGAUUUAUUGGGCGUAAAGAGAGUGCAGGCGGUUUUCUAAGUCUGAUGUGAAAGCCUUCGGCUUAACCGGAGAAGUGCAUCGGAAACUGGAUAACUUGAGUGCAGAAGAGGGUAGUGGAACUCCAUGUGUAGCGGUGGAAUGCGUAGAUAUAUGGAAGAACACCAGUGGCGAAGGCGGCUACCUGGUCUGCAACUGACGCUGAGACUCGAAAGCAUGGGUAGCGAACAGGAUUAGAUACCCUGGUAGUCCAUGCCGUAAACGAUGAGUGCUAGGUGUUGGAGGGUUUCCGCCCUUCAGUGCCGGAGCUAACGCAUUAAGCACUCCGCCUGGGGAGUACGACCGCAAGGUUGAAACUCAAAGGAAUUGACGGGGGCCCGCACAAGCGGUGGAGCAUGUGGUUUAAUUCGAAGCUACGCGAAGAACCUUACCAGGUCUUGACAUCUUGCGCCAACCCUAGAGAUAGGGCGUUUCCUUCGGGAACGCAAUGACAGGUGGUGCAUGGUCGUCGU
Molecule: ribosomal RNA, 987 nt
Filed under: Limosilactobacillus fermentum
Lineage: Bacteria; Bacillati; Bacillota; Bacilli; Lactobacillales; Lactobacillaceae
Description: bacterial SSU rRNA
Rfam family: Bacterial small subunit ribosomal RNA
Source: RNAcentral